This 497-nucleotide ribosomal RNA is filed under the name uncultured bacterium. Its description in RNAcentral is "partial 16S ribosomal RNA". It matches the Rfam family "Bacterial small subunit ribosomal RNA", at positions 28 to 507 of the family's 1533-position model. The record is from RNAcentral.
GAUGAACGCUGGCGGCGUGCCUAAUACAUGCAAGUCGAGCGAACAGACGAGGAGCUUGCUCCUUUCACGUUAGCGGCGGACGGGUGAGUAACGCGUGGAUAACCUACCUGUAAGAGUGGGAUAACUACGGGAAACGGGAGCUAAUACCGGAUAAUAUAUUGAACCGCAUGGUGCAUUAGUGAAAGACGGUUUUUCUGGACCUUAUAGAUGGAUCCCCGCGUCUUUGGCUGGUUGUUAAGGUACCGGCCUACCAAGGCAAGGAUGCGUAGCCGAACGGAGGGGGGGAUAGCCCACCCUGGAACUGGGCCACGGUCAAGACUCCUACGGGAGGCAGCAGAAGGGAAUCUGCGGCAAUGGGCGAAAGCCUGACGGAGCAAGGCGGCGUGAGUGAUGAAGGUCUUGGGUGCGUAAAACUCGGUUUUUGGGGAAAAACAGAUGUGUAAUGAAAUAUGCACGUCGUGACGGUAACUAAUCAGAAAGCCACGGCUAACUACGUG